GGCUCAGAACGAACGCUGGCGGCGCGUCUUAAGCAUGCAAGUCGAACGGCAAGAGGUAGCAAUACCUCCUAGAGUGGCGGACUGGUGAGUAACACGUGGGUGACAUACCCUUCAGAUGGGGAUAGCUAUUAGAAAUAGUAGAUAAUACCGAAUACGAGCACAGGGGUUAGAGAUCUGUGAGGAAAGGAGCUAAGGCUCCGCUGAAGGAAUGGCCUGCGGCCCAUUAGCUAGUUGGUGAGGUAAGAGCCCACCAAGGCGAUGAUGGGUAUCCGGCCUUAGAGGGUGAACGGACACAUUGGGACUGAGAUACGGCCCAGACUCCUACGGGAGGCAGCAGCUAAGAAUAUUCCGCAAUGGACGAAAGUCUGACGGAGCGACGCCGCCGUGGAUGAAGAAGGCCGGAAGGUUGUAAAAUCCUUUUGAAACUGAAGAAUAAGCGUUGUAGGGAAUGACAGCGUGGUGACAGUAGGUUUUGAAUAAGCAACGGCUAAUUACGUGCCAGCCGCCGC
This 509-nucleotide ribosomal RNA is filed under the name uncultured bacterium. RNAcentral's name for it is "bacterial SSU rRNA". It matches the Rfam family "Bacterial small subunit ribosomal RNA", at positions 21 to 518 of the family's 1533-position model. The record is from RNAcentral.